This 62-nucleotide transfer RNA is filed under the name Actinomycetota bacterium. RNAcentral describes it as "tRNA-OTHER". The record is from RNAcentral. Lineage: Bacteria; Bacillati; Actinomycetota.
GUGAACAGGUGUUUCCCGCCCUUGCACGGCGGAGGUCAGGGGUUCGAUCCCCCUCGGCUCCA